RNAcentral lists this ribosomal RNA (253 nucleotides) under uncultured bacterium. RNAcentral describes it as "partial 16S ribosomal RNA". It matches the Rfam family "Bacterial small subunit ribosomal RNA", at positions 524 to 776 of the family's 1533-position model. The record is from RNAcentral.
UACAGAGGUGGCAAGCGUUGUUCGGAAUUACUGGGCGUAAAGGGCGCGUAGGCGGCCUUCUAAGUCAGACGUGAAAUCCCCCGGCUUAACCUGGGAACUGCGUCUGAUACUGGGAGGCUGGAGUAUGGGAGAGGGAGGUAGAAUUCCAGGUGUAGCGGUGAAAUGCGUAGAUAUCUGGAGGAAUACCGGUGGCGAAGGCGGCCUCCUGGACCAUAACUGACGCUGAUCCGCGAAAGCUAGGGGAGCAAACGGG